RNAcentral lists this transfer RNA (84 nucleotides) under Collybia nuda. RNAcentral's name for it is "Lepista nuda tRNA". It matches the Rfam family "tRNA". From Rfam's summary of the family: Transfer RNA (tRNA) molecules are approximately 80 nucleotides in length. Lineage: Eukaryota; Fungi; Basidiomycota; Agaricomycetes; Agaricales; Clitocybaceae. The record is from Rfam by way of RNAcentral.
CCGACCUUAGCUCAGUUGGAAGAGCGCAAGACUGUAAUGGAUAACUUCAUCUUGAUGUCGCCUGUUCGAGCCAGGCAGGUCGGA